AAUUUGUGGAAAUUAUUUCUCUCUUUACUAUCUAACAUAUAAGCUAUUUAUGAUAUGUUCAAGUUUAGAACUUUCCAACAUUUUUUGGUUUUCAUGAUAUUACACUGUGAAGUAGGUAUAUCUGCAUUCUUCAAUGAUUUUAGUUAAAGCUAGUAUGAAAUUGACACUCCAAUAAGCUUUCAGAACAAGGUAAUCUCAAAUUCUCAUAGUUUAGUGAUCAAUAGUAGAGAUGAAAUGAUCCAUCGAAUAUUGAACUUAACCUUUCUGUUUGCAUUAUCUGAGAUGGGAAUUGGUUUACUCUGUUUAAUUAUCUCCUUUGACAUUGACAAAUUCCACUUCUUUUGCACCUCCAAUGCUCCCACAUAGGGUAGAUUUCAUGUUGUUAUCGAUAAUGAUGUUAAUCACCAUCUUGAUUUAUCCCCCUUGCACAAAGCUACGGGAAUUACUUCUCCGUCAUCUGGUAAGCAUAAAACCAACCUUAAACUUUUUUAUUGAGUAAUAAUUAUAUCUUUUGCAUGGCCUUGACAAAGUUUUCUUGAUAACUUUGCUAUAGUUAAGCCUAAAGAGUUUAUUGAACGUACAAAUGGAUUUACCGUUAUCUAUACAAGAGAAGACCCAUGUGAUCCUCAGGAACUAUCAGAAUUCCCUGAUAUAAGACUCUGGUUUGUG
Molecule: unclassified non-coding RNA, 669 nt
Filed under: Hevea brasiliensis (rubber tree)
Lineage: Eukaryota; Viridiplantae; Streptophyta; Magnoliopsida; Malpighiales; Euphorbiaceae
Source: RNAcentral